CCAAACCAAGUAAUGAUUAUAUUUUUUUCAAGUGCCAUUGACUUCAGUUCCAGUUUCAGCUCCACUUAUUAUGUAAGCGAGCAUUAAACUACUUGCAUAAAUCACUUGCCUGGCAACGGACACUGCCUUGGGGCCCUGGCGGUGAUUAAUUAUUGGAAAAACUGCUACAAAGGACUCGCCCCCAAGGCCCGGAUGUGUUGUUGUCAGUUCUCCCCGAGGGCAAUAUGACAAUUAGUUACCAAAGCAACAACAGAAAUACCUACAAAUGACAGCAAAAUACACAGGGGAGUGGGCAUGCUAACAUUUCUAUGGAGUGGUCUAUAUAUGGACGGCGUUGGUCCUGGAUGCAGAGGACAUGAAGGACGUGGAGGACACACACACCGCACAACAUGGCCGCAUGGCAGCCAUUUUGGUGGCAUCAGAGGACACUCAAUGGCGGCAGCAGGAGCACGGAGUGAAAAGUCGCUUCGAUGUGGAACGAUACAUUUAGUUGAUUUUUCACUGGGAGCAGAGCAACGGCAGGCAUUUAAUUAGAAAAUACGUAUACGCCGCAUGGUACGUGCUCGCAAUCACGUGCUUGCCGCCUUCACGUUGCCACGACAGCACGGAAUCCCUGUCAACUAAUUCAUCAAUUUUUUCUCAUUUUUCUCGCAAAUUUUGUUUUAAUGAUUUCUGCACCGCCUUCGUUCUGCGGACAACAUUAGCUUUUUAAAUUCUACGUCUUUUUUUAGCUUAAAGCUUCGCGCCGAAUCAUCGUGCUCUGCAUAAUUAAGAUAAGUUGCACAGUGCUCGAAAGUAAUUAGCUGAGAUAUUUAUUACAAUUACCUGUCAGCGAGAACGAGUGCACUUGGAAUUGCGUGUAAAUGAACUUUGCCAAGUCAAGUCGUGCACUUGGCUCUAACUAUGUUAAUUCGUGUGAUAGUUUGUCGUGGCUCCAAAUGUCAAACGGUUGGCGGUACAGUGGGUCCAAAAGUUGUGGGCCUGAUAAAUGGCCUAGUCAAAAAAAACUUUAAAUAACUUGUUAUGUGCCGACUUAAAACCAUAUUACCGCAAAGAUAAACGUUCUCAUUAAAUAUAUCGCUUCGAAGAGUUGGAGGAACCCCCGAAAAAUACAUUUCGUGGUCGAAACCUCUUUAUUUUCGGGCCAUUAAGCGUGCUGGCCAAAGGGCAAAGGCAGGAAAAAAGAUGUGAAAGAAAAAAAAACCACACUAAUUCGGAGAGAAACAUUAAAAAUAUUUCCAUAGACUUGUAGACUUUGUACUUGGCCAACUGCUGGUAUCACAACCAUUCUUAGGCAAUUAGGCUCACUGUGCCAGAUUAUUAGACAAGAUCCAGCUAAGCGGAUUAGCUGUAAUGUUAAUUAAAACUUUAUCUCAAGCCCCGCACUCUUUGCGAAACUAAUUUGCAAACAAAGUUAAUCACGUUCCUCGCAUUGAUAUCCAAUAUAAGCCGCAAUGAUUUCUAAAUACUCUUGCAUAUCGCACAUUUAUGCAAAUUAUCUGCGAGUGAGCUAAUUGUGUAUUAAUUAAAUAGCAGUUCUGUGCCUAAGCCUCCAUAAUUCAUAUACACUUAGUGGGAGGAUUAUGCUUUGUCAAGUAUCAAUAGCCGGCAAAUGAAAUCAAAUCAAUUAUUUCGGCUAUGCGACUGCUCAACUGAUGAAGCCCAGCAAUCUCCGAGAAACUAUUCGCACACAAAGACUACGUGUGUAUCCAUAGUAAUCUGGAUGCCUUAUAAGCCAGGCAGCAAUUUGCAUAAACAAUUAAUCAUGCAAAGCGUGAAACGUGCGCAAAAUUCGAAAAGAACAACAAACUAAAUUUAGUUGUGCCACAGACUCGCUGGAAGGAAAGAAAUACAUCCACCAUGUCGAUGGACUGACAAAGGGGAACUAUGGCCCACGAGCUUGUCUGAAAUUCAUAGAAAUUGCACCGCAUAUGAUUCAAUUUCGCCUUUCAGCCAGGCGACUUGCGCUGAGCCUGCUCAAAAACUAGCAGAAGGCAGCAGGCAGCUAGCGGCAGCGCCAAUAAACGUGGCCCAAAAGAAUGCAGUCCGAAAACCAGUUUAGCGUACAGCCUGUGGACUACUCGAUCUCCAGCGUGCAGAGCACUAUACACCGAAAAAUACACGAUGGAAAAACAAACAAAAAUACAGCAAUAAAAAAAACACACAGAAUCGGUAGCAGCCCAAAUACACCGGAAAUAAUGGAUUAUCUAACUCCUUAUCUAAGUCCUUGCUAAGUGAAUUUAUACUUUUUGUACCUUUAAACAC
This is a non-coding RNA of Drosophila melanogaster (fruit fly), 2265 nucleotides long. Lineage: Eukaryota; Metazoa; Arthropoda; Insecta; Diptera; Drosophilidae. The record is from Ensembl.